RNAcentral lists this ribosomal RNA (497 nucleotides) under uncultured bacterium. RNAcentral describes it as "partial 16S ribosomal RNA". It matches the Rfam family "Bacterial small subunit ribosomal RNA", at positions 28 to 507 of the family's 1533-position model. The record is from RNAcentral.
GAUGAACGCUGGCGGCGUGCCUAAUACAUGCAAGUCGAGCGAACAGACGAGGAGCUUGCUCCUCUGACGUUAGCGGCGGACGGGUGAGUAACACGUGGAUAACCUACCUAUAAGACUGGGAUAACUUCGGGAAACCGGAGCUAAUACCGGAUAAUAUAUUGAACCGCAUGGUUCAAUAGUGAAAGACGGUUUUGCUGUCACUUAUAGAUGGAUCCGCGCCGCCUUAGCUAGUUGGUAAGGUAACGGCUUACCAAGGCAACGAUGCGUAGCCGACCUGAGAGGGUGAUCGGCCACACUGGAACUGAGACACGGUCCAGACUCCUACGGGAGGCAGCAGAAGGGAAUCUUCCGCAAUGGGCGAAAGCUUGACGGAGCAACGCCGCGUGAGUGAUGAAGGUCUUCGGAUCGUAAAACUCUGUUAUUAGGGAAGAACAAAUGUGUAAGUAACUAUGCACGUCUUGACGGUACCUAAUCAGAAAGCCACGGCUAACUACGUG